UUUUCCGAGUUCCCUAGAGAGAAGGGGUGCCUCCUCACAAAGGGGGUCACAGUGACCAGGCCCGGGUGACUGUUUA
Telopea speciosissima is the source of this 76-nucleotide long non-coding RNA. RefSeq lists it as uncharacterized. NCBI's taxonomy places the organism in Eukaryota, Viridiplantae, Streptophyta, Magnoliopsida, Proteales, Proteaceae. The record is from RefSeq and is a predicted model, not a curated record. The transcript has 3 exons.